This 51-nucleotide non-coding RNA is filed under the name unclassified sequences. Its description in RNAcentral is "eL15-Euryarchaeota ribosomal protein leader". It matches the Rfam family "eL15-Euryarchaeota ribosomal protein leader". The record is from RNAcentral.
CGGACCAUCAGAGUCCGUUGGGAUGUGGCCCAGUACGGGCUGAACCGCAAA